Molecule: long non-coding RNA, 582 nt
Organism: Hydra vulgaris (swiftwater hydra)
Lineage: Eukaryota; Metazoa; Cnidaria; Hydrozoa; Anthoathecata; Hydridae
Source: RefSeq, a predicted model, not a curated record
GCUAAUAUGCGGUAAAAUUUAUAUAUGUGUAUAAAUCUUUUCAUUUAAACUUUAUCAUUUCAUUUAAAUUACUACCUUAUUAACAGGCAGAUUUGACCGGCAAUAUAAAUUUUUUGCUUUAUAAUAUAUUAAAAGAUGGUAAGGACGUGAAGAAAACAGGUGUGUAAAUGAUGUUGUACAUCUUGCAGAUAGCUCAGAAGAAAUACAUUAUAAGCAGAAUGUUUGACUGGAAAUAUAAACGAUGUUGCACAUAAUGCAGAUAGCUUAGGCGUAAAGAGAUUGGUGAAAUGGAGAAUGAGACUAACUACGGUCAAAAAAAUAAUGAAUAUCAAAAUGUGAAUGGUACUUUGUUUAACAUCUACCUGUUUCUAUAGAUACAGUACAGAAGCAUUUAUAAAUGGGCUUGAUAUUUUUAUCAUUAAAACUUGAAUUUAUUAUAAAAUUUAUAAAUACUAUUUUUAUCAAAUAGUUUAUAUAAAAUAGUAAACAUGUAAAUUGUUUUAUUUUCUGUAAAAAUUGUUUUCUUUUAUAUUUCAAUUGAUUAUCACUAUGUAUAUCACUUAUAGUACUAUAUUACUUGUA